This 252-nucleotide ribosomal RNA is filed under the name uncultured bacterium. RNAcentral's name for it is "partial 16S ribosomal RNA". It matches the Rfam family "Bacterial small subunit ribosomal RNA", at positions 524 to 776 of the family's 1533-position model. The record is from RNAcentral.
UACGGAGGAUGCAAGCGUUAUCCGGAUUUAUUGGGUUUAAAGGGUGCGUAGGCGGGUUAUCAAGUCAGCGGUAAAAUCGUGGAGCUCAACUCCAUCCAGCCGUUGAAACUGAUGAUCUUGAGUGGGCGAGAAGUAUGCGGAAUGCGUGGUGUAGCGGUGAAAUGCAUAGAUAUCACGCAGAACUCCGAUUGCGAAGGCAGCAUACCGGCGCCCGACUGACGCUGAAGCACGAAAGCGUGGGUAUCGAACAGG